AUACAUUGAGACUCUCUCUCUCUCUCUCUCUUCUGAACUUCUCUUCUCUGAACUUCUCCUCUAUUGUUCCUCUCUCUUGACCGUCGCAUCUCUCCAACACCGGCGACCCCGACAAGCUCUCCAACACCGGCGACCCCGACAAGCUCUCCAACCCGGCGACGAUCGAGGUGAAACGCAGCUUCUCUCCGUCAUCAUCUUUCACUCACGACGAGUGCAACUUCUCUCCGUCUACUUGACAGAUCUGUCUACACAGAUUUCGCUUCAUAUUUUUGCAAAUGUCAACUUCAAGUGUUAACGGCAGUACCUCAGAUCAAUUGACGUAUUACAACAGAAAUUGUCCUCAAUGUCGGAAAAUAGCAAUCAUUCUAAUUUCGGAGACGGAACGAAACAAGAAUAAGCUAUUUUAUUGUUGUCCUGAUUGCAGUGGGUUUAUUGCAUGGUGCUUGCCCACAAAUUCACAACGUAGGGAGGAAGGACAAGUGCGAAUGGACAACACACCAACUGUUACCGAACAACUUCAAAGUAUGGGCGAACAUCUUCGAUUUCAAAGUGAACAACAUCAAUUUUAGAACGCGCAGAUGCAAAAAUUGUAAAGAGACAUAAAUAGAAAUUCGUGUUGUAUUAAUGGGAUCUUCAUCUUGCUUGUAAUUGGUGUUAUGUUAAUUAUGAAGAUGCAAUAAUUUUUAUACAAGGUAGAACAUGUAAUUGGUGUUGUAUUAAUUAUGAAGAUGAUAUGUAUGAAGAUUUCUGAUAUAUUACAAUUAUGGAUUGAGAAGUAUGAAUAUGUAAUCAUGUGGAUUGUUUGUUA
This is a long non-coding RNA of Camellia sinensis, 808 nucleotides long. RefSeq lists it as uncharacterized. The record is from RefSeq and is a predicted model, not a curated record. Lineage: Eukaryota; Viridiplantae; Streptophyta; Magnoliopsida; Ericales; Theaceae.